GACUAACGCUGGUCUCGUGCUUAGCUCAGUGCAAGUCUAACGAUGAAGGCUAGCUUGCUUCGUGGAUUAUUGGUGAACGGGGGACGAAGACGGGGUUAGCCUAGCUUUAGCUCUGGGAUAAGCGUGGGAAACUGGGUCUAAUAGCGGAUACGACCAAUCUCCGCAUGGGGUGUUGGUGGAAAGCGUUAUGUAGUGGUUAUAGAUGGGCUCACGGCCUAUCAGCUUGUUGGUGAGGUAACGGCUCACCAAGGCGACGACGGGUAGCCGGCCUGAGAGGGUGACCGGCCACACUGGGACUGAGACACGGCCCAGACUCCUACGGGAGGCAGCAGUGGGGAAUAUUGCACAAUGGGCGCAAGCCUGAUGCAGCGACGCCGCGUGAGGGAUGACGGCCUUCGGGUUGUAAACCUCUGUUAGCAGGGAAGAAGAGAGAUUGACGGUACCUGCAGAGAAAGCGCCGGCUAACUACGUGCCAGCAGCCGCGGUAAUACGUAGGGCGCGAGCGUUGUCCGGAAUUAUUGGGCGUAAAGAGCUUGUANGCGGUUUGUCGCGUCUGCUGUGAAGGCCGGGGCUUAACUCCGUGUAUUGCAGUGGGUACGGGCAGACUAGAGUGCAGUAGGGGAGACUGGAAUUCCUGGUGUAGCGGUGGAAUGCGCAGAUAUCAGGAGGAACACCGAUGGCGAAGGCAGGUCUCUGGGCUGUAACUGACGCUGAGAAGCGAAAGCAUGGGGAGCGAACAGGAUUAGAUACCCUGGUAGUCCAUGCCGUAAACGUUGGGCACUAGGUGUGGGGGACAUUCCACGUUUUCCGCGCCGUAGCUAACGCAUUAAGUGCCCCGCCUGGGGAGUACGGCCGCAAGGCUAAAACUCAAAGAAAUUGACGGGGGCCCGCACAAGCGGCGGAGCAUGCGGAUUAAUUCGAUGCAACGCGAAGAACCUUACCAAGGCUUGACAUAUACUGGACCGCAUCAGAGAUGGUGUUUCCCUUCGGGGCUGGUAUACAGGUGGUGCAUGGUUGUCGUCAGCUCGUGUCGUGAGAUGUUGGGUUAAGUCCCGCAACGAGCGCAACCCUCGUUCUAUGUUGCCAGCACGUUAUGGUGGGGACUCAUAGGAGACUGCCGGGGUCAACUCGGAGGAAGGUGGGGAUGACGUCAAAUCAUCAUGCCCCUUAUGUCUUGGGCUUCACGCAUGCUACAAUGGCCGGUACAGAGGGUUGCGAUACUGUGAGGUGGAGCUAAUCCCUAAAAGCCGGUCUCAGUUCGGAUUGGGGUCUGCAACUCGACCCCAUGAAGUCGGAGUCGCUAGUAAUCGCAGAUCAGCAACGCUGCGGUGAAUACGUUCCCGGGCCU
RNAcentral lists this ribosomal RNA (1348 nucleotides) under uncultured bacterium. RNAcentral's name for it is "bacterial SSU rRNA". It matches the Rfam family "Bacterial small subunit ribosomal RNA", at positions 28 to 1381 of the family's 1533-position model. The record is from RNAcentral.